This 492-nucleotide ribosomal RNA is filed under the name uncultured bacterium. RNAcentral describes it as "partial 16S ribosomal RNA". It matches the Rfam family "Bacterial small subunit ribosomal RNA", at positions 29 to 507 of the family's 1533-position model. The record is from RNAcentral.
AGUGAACGCUGGCGGUAGGCCUAACACAUGCAAGUCGAACGGCAGCACAGUAAGAGCUUGCUCUUACGGGUGGCGAGUGGCGGACGGGUGAGGAAUACAUCGGAAUCUACUUUUUCGUGGGGGAUAACGUAGGGAAACUUACGCUAAUACCGCAUACGACCUACGGGUGAAAGCAGGGGAUCUUCGGACCUUGCGCGAUUGAAUGAGCCGAUGUCGGAUUAGCUAGUUGGCGGGGUAAAGGCCCACCAAGGCGACGAUCCGUAGCUGGUCUGAGAGGAUGAUCAGCCACACUGGAACUGAGACGCGGUCCAGACUCCUACGGGAGGCAGCAGUGGGGAAUAUUGGACAAUGGGCGCAAGCCUGAUCCAGCCAUACCGCGUGGGUGAAGAAGGCCUUCGGGUUGUAAAGCCCCUUUGUUGGGAAAGAAAAGCAGCAGGUUAAUACCCCGCUGUUCUGACGGUACCCAAAGAAUAAGCACCGGCUAACUUCGUG